This 335-nucleotide ribosomal RNA is filed under the name Stephanopyxis turris. RNAcentral's name for it is "partial Bacterial large subunit ribosomal RNA". It matches the Rfam family "Bacterial large subunit ribosomal RNA", at positions 113 to 505 of the family's 2925-position model. The record is from RNAcentral. Lineage: Eukaryota; Bacillariophyta; Melosirophyceae; Stephanopyxales; Stephanopyxidaceae.
UCCGAAUGGGGCAACCCACCCGCAAGGGUAUCAUGAUCUGAAUACAUAGGGUUAUGAGGCGAACCCGGGGAACUGAAACAUCUCAGUACCUGGAGGAAAAGACAUCAAACGAGAUUCCGCUAGUAGUGGCGAGCGAACGCGGAGCAGGCCAGUAGUUUUUGAAGAAGAAGCAGAAGGAUCUGGAAAGGUCCGCCAUAGUGGGUGAUAGCCCCGUAUGCGUAGUGUCUUUGAGAACUCUUGAGUAGGGCGGGGCACGUGAAACCCUGUCUGAACAUGGGGGGACCACCCUCCAAGCCUAAAUACUCCCUAGUGACCGAUAGUGAACAAGUACCGUG